AAACAUCGAAUGAACUUAACCAUUUCAUUCCGCCCGGGAAUUACGGACACCAGUCUAAAAACCAAAGGACUUGGCGGUGCUUUAAACCCCCCUAGAGGAGCCUGUCCUAUAACCGAUGACCCCCGUUUAACCUCACCCUCCCUCGCUCGAUCCACCUAUAUACCGCCGCCGUCAGCUUACCCUGAGAAGGAAUAGAAGUAUGCAAAAUUGGCAAAGCCCCAAACGUCAGGUCGAGGUGUAGUGCAUGAGAGGGGAAGAGAUGGGCUACAUUUGCUAACCAGAAGCAAAUACGGAUGUAUUAUUGAAACCGAUACUGAAGGAGGAUUUAGUAGUAAGAGGGGAGCAGAGUGCCCC
RNAcentral lists this ribosomal RNA (354 nucleotides) under Arnoglossus laterna (scaldfish). RNAcentral describes it as "partial 12S ribosomal RNA". It matches the Rfam family "Bacterial small subunit ribosomal RNA", at positions 801 to 1360 of the family's 1533-position model. The record is from RNAcentral. Lineage: Eukaryota; Metazoa; Chordata; Actinopteri; Pleuronectiformes; Bothidae.